RNAcentral lists this long non-coding RNA (1399 nucleotides) under Bos grunniens (domestic yak). RNAcentral describes it as "lncRNA (ENSBGRG00000019438.1)". The record is from RNAcentral. Lineage: Eukaryota; Metazoa; Chordata; Mammalia; Artiodactyla; Bovidae.
UUCCGAGGAGAAGGGCAGGCACGGGCAUCGUGGAAGAAUUAGCGUCAUCAGUUGCAGGUGGUCGUUGGGCCUCAGUAGAGAGAGCUGCUCACAGGAGCCAUUUGCAGAUCCUCUCUGGGGAAGAAAACCACCAAGUGGGGCUCCUGGCCCCUGAUAUUCUCCGCCUUCACGCUCUUGUCCCUGUGCUGAGAGUUGCUGUUGUUCAGUCCCUCAGUCGUGUCCGACUCUUUGCGACCCGGUGGCCUGCAGCCUGCCAGGAUCCUCUGUCCAUGGAAUUUCCCAGGUAGGAAUACUGGAGUAGGUUGCCUUUCCCUUCUCCAGUGUCUGUGCUUUUUGCGAGAGUGGGUCUUACAAAAGAUGGCACAAGUCUGGGCAACCUGUUUCUCUGGAAGGCACUAGAUUUAGAUCAAUGUGGAUUUAUGGGAUUAUUCCCCAAAAAAGCAUUACAGAUAUUUGUGGAUUAGGAUUGAAUUUUGAGAACUGUGAAGAUGCUACUAAUACAUUUCCUAAGUCAAAUAAAAUUUUAGUAUGAAUAUGGCCGAUGCAUCUUAGCUCACUUGCUUUUUAUAAAUAGGCAAGUAUCAGUUUGUAUGUCUAUAAUCUCUUUAAUUACAGUUUUCGUCUUGUUAGUGAAAAAUCAGUAUUUAGUUUAUCUUUCUAUUACUUUUAAAAAGUUACCAUAUGCUGGCAUCUGAAUGUUUGUGUCCUCCCCAAAUUCAUCUGUUGAAGUCUUAACACUCAACAUGACAAUACUAGGAGGUAAGACUCUGGGGAGGCGCUGGGGUCAUGAGGGGGGCCCUCGUGGGUGGGAUUAGAGCCCUCGUCGAAGAGAGCCCACAGAGCUGCCUCACCCCUUCCAGCCUGUGAGGACACGGUGAGGAGGCACCAUCUGUGAUCCAGGAACGCGACCUCCCCAGACACCGGAUUGCAGCCCUGUGACGGUCUUAGGCUUGCCGGCCUCCAGAACCAUGAGAUCUGAAUUUCUGUUUGCAGAACAACAGUCUGUGGAUUUUGUUAGAGCACCCAGAGAUGGCUAAGAUGCAGUAGUAGCUGAAAUGUGUCCUGCCUAGGAUGUAGACUCGAUCCCCUUUUAUGAUGUAAAAAAAUGAAAACUGAGUAUGAUAACUAAUCUUACUUAGCCUCUCUUGUGUUUAUCUUUUAUGUAGAUAGGUCUCAUGAUGACAAAAAAGAAAAGAAGAAAGACUCGUGGGUCAACCACGGAGGAUGCUAUGACAUAGUUAGAAAUGGGUAUUUGGUCCCUGCCCCGGCAUCUGGGCACAGAGCUCCUAAAACACUUGGAAUUUCUGGAGUGUUAGGGUAAAACAAGGUAUCUCUGCUUGUUUAUAACUAGCCUCUUUCAGCCACAUCUGAGUUUAUGUCAAUGCAAUGACUUAGAAAA